Molecule: RNA transcript, 1621 nt
Organism: Vitis riparia (riverbank grape)
Lineage: Eukaryota; Viridiplantae; Streptophyta; Magnoliopsida; Vitales; Vitaceae
Gene name: arogenate dehydratase/prephenate dehydratase 2, chloroplastic
Exons: 13
Source: RefSeq, a predicted model, not a curated record
CUGAACGCUGCCUAUCUUGAGCUUCUAAAUUCUAAUAGCUCUUUGUCCCCUCGAAGCCCAGCGUUUCUCGAUAAUGGCGGCUUCCUUCUCACGAUCUCCCAUCACGCCCCUUCACCGCCAAAACAACUGCAAAUUCCCGCCCUUGGAUCCAAUGGCAAGAGUGCACAUUAGUACUCCUGGAAUAUCUUCGAAGCGGCGCUGUAAUAUCUCUCUGGCCUAUGUGCCCAACGGCAAUGAUGAGAACGCGAAGUCUCGAGAAUUGCAGAGAAGUUUGGAAGACUUUCCCUCUGAAACCCUUUCAAAAGGUUCACAUUCGCUUCCCAGGCCUUUGUCUUCGACCCAUUUGUCUAAUAAGCUCUCUGAUAGGUCUCGCCUUCGGGUGGCAUACCAGGGAGUUCAUGGUGCCUACAGCGAGUCUGCUGCGGAGAAGGCCUACCCGAACUGUCAAGCUGUUCCUUGUGAGCAAUUUGAAACUGCUUUUGAGGCUGUUGAAAGUUGGCUUGUUGAUAGAGCAGUUUUGCCAAUUGAGAAUUCUCUUGGGGGGAGCAUUCACAGGAACUAUGACCUUUUACUUCGCCACAGGUUGCAUAUAGUUGGGGAAGUAAAGUUUGCAGUCCGACAUUGCUUACUAGCCAAUCAUGGUGUUAAAGUUGAAGACCUCAAGAGGGUUCUUAGCCAUUCUCAGGCUCUUGCUCAGUGUGAGAACACACUAACAAAGUUGGGAUUGGUCAGAGAAGCAGUGGAUGAUACUGCUGGUGCAGCUAAGUUUAUUGCUUUCCACAAACUGAAAGAUGCGGGAGCCGUUGCAAGCUCUGCUGCUGCAAGGAUCUAUGGUUUGAAAAUACUUGCUCAAGACAUUCAGGAUGAUUCUUAUAAUGUUACUCGAUUUCUUAUGCUGGCAAGGGAACCCAUAAUUCCUGGCACAGACAGGCCAUUCAAGACAAGUAUUGUUUUCUCAUUGGAGGAAGGUCCUGGGGUGCUUUUCAAGGCACUUGCUGUAUUUGCCCUAAGGCAGAUCAACCUUACAAAAAUUGAAAGUCGUCCAUUGAGGAAUCAGCCUUUGCGAGCAUCCAAUGAUACCAAUAAUGGGAGUCCAAAAUACUUUGAUUAUCUUUUCUAUGUGGAUUUUGAAGCAUCAAUGGCCGACCAAAAUUCACAGAAUGCCCUCAGGCACCUGAAGGAGUUCGCUACAUUCCUGAGAGUGCUAGGGAGUUACCCUGUGGACACUAGCAUGAUAUAACUGAUUAUUAAGCCUGGAUUCAGUGCUUGAGUUCAGUUAUGGCAUGUUACAUUGUAAAGAUAGUAAUUACUGAUGUAUCAAGAAAUGAAGACUCGUGUUAUAUAGAUUUGUUUUUCUCCAUCAAUCGUUUCUUAUAGAUCCAACACAACCAUGAAAUACAGAAUCUGGGCUAACAUCUAAUCUAGUUAUGCAAUUUGUCUUUCCCCGUUUUCCUUAUCUUUUCAAUGUAAUUACUGGACGUAGUUGUGACACAUUAAAUGAGUUUAAGGUUAUUUUUAUAAUAUUUGUGUAUCUGUUUUUACUUUGAUUGAUCUUGUACGUGACUUGAAAUGAGAAGUUUAAUGCUUAUCAGUGGCCGCUCAGGCACGGUUUUGCACCUAA